GGGGGUGCAUUGGUUUCGACUGAGCAAGGACAUACCCGUGGCAUGCAGAGGACGCCAGUUGGCCUCUUAAAAAAUCUGGUAAACUAUAAGUGCAACUAAUAAGUGCAAAAAGAAAAGCUCUAAAGUCCUCGAAGGCAACUUCGGAUAUGACGCUAGAGCUGCUGCUUAAGCCUAACAGCUUUUAGCAACCGAUCGUUUAAAACUGGACCAGGGGUUUUACUGCGAUCGUUAUAUUUCUUGGUGUGAUAGUCCGAAGGCGCUCUUUUAGCGGACAUAUCGAGAUAUUUGAGGAGCAGGUUGGCCCUUAGCAGGGUUCCUUAUGGCAAGGUCAACCUUAAAUAAAUAAGGAACUAAGCAUGUAGUCAUUGAUAUGAAAUUGACUUUGGACGAGAGUUCGACUCUCUCCACCUCCAA
Molecule: transfer-messenger RNA, 414 nt
Filed under: Chlamydiales bacterium
Lineage: Bacteria; Pseudomonadati; Chlamydiota; Chlamydiia; Chlamydiales
Also listed under: 1 other name
Rfam family: transfer-messenger RNA
About the family: Bacterial tmRNA, also known as 10Sa RNA or SsrA, is named for its dual tRNA and mRNA-like properties. Its role is to liberate the mRNA from a stalled ribosome.
Source: RNAcentral